This 337-nucleotide long non-coding RNA is filed under the name Parus major (Great Tit). RNAcentral's name for it is "lncRNA (ENSPMJG00000008526.1)". Lineage: Eukaryota; Metazoa; Chordata; Aves; Passeriformes; Paridae. The record is from RNAcentral.
CAGAAGUUGAACUGGAGAGGUGUGACCAACAUUACUAUGGCAACACUGAAUGCUGGGUAUGUGAAGAAGCAGUUUUCAAAGGCUGGAACCUGUAGGAUUUUUUAGUCAAGCAUGGUAUUGGAGCUCAGCAAGUUUGUGUCCACUGUGCAUGUUCUGUUGAUGACUUCAGCAACAUUCAGAACCAUAACGGCUCAACACCAUGAAGUGUGAGACAGGGAGCUGGCAGAAGCUAGAAGGAAUUUGGUAACAGCAAGGUUAUUGUUAUAUUCUUAAUGAUCCUAGUAUUGCUUAUGGGAUCAGUUAUAUUGAUAAAAGCUAGUUAAAAAUGUUUCCUCUG